CAGGAGGAAGGAACAACUCCAGACGCGCCACCUUAAGAGCUGUAACACUCACCGGGAAGGUCUGUAGCUUCACUCCUGAGCCAGCGAGACCACGAACCCACCAGAAGGGAGAAACUCCGAACACAUUCGAACAUCAGAAGGACCAAACUCCAGACGCGCCACCUUAAGAGCUGUAACACUCACUGCGAGGGUCCGCGGCUUCAUUCUUGAAGUCAGUGAGACCAAGAACCCACCAAUUCCGGACACAGUGGCUGGGAUUACAGGCACGUGCCACCAUGCCUGGCUAGUUUUUGUAUUUUUUGUAGAGACGGGAUUUUGCCAUGUUGCCCAGGCUGGUCUCGAACUCCUGGAGUCAAGUGAUCUGCCUGCCUCAGCCUUCCAAAGUGCUGGGAUUACAGGAAUUUAUUCUCAUUUUACAGAUGAGGAAACUGCAGCACAGAAAGUCUGUUACUUGACCAAAGUUACAUAGGUGAUAAGUGAUAGAAUGGGGAUUUGAACGUAGGCAAUUCUGUCUCAGCCCCAGCUUGUUCUCCCAUUCUAAAGAUCACAUCUUUGACUCAUUUUGUCUGCCUGAUUGCUUAUGGUGAUGCUUGGGGCCACAGGUCCUCACUGCAGACCUCCCAGGGGCAGGAGCCCUGCCCCUGAGCCCUAGACCAGGAGCCUUCCCCCUUCCUCCAAUUUUCAGCCUCUCUGCCCUGGACUCCUCCUUGGGCUGCCACCUAAUGCCAGUCUCCAAACAUUCCAGAUGCUAUCUCUCUGCUCCUGAUAUGCCUAUUAGUAAGCAACCCAUUUCCAGAAAGUGGCUGGCUCAAACUUUUGACACCCAGGAGAUCAUCCAAACCGUUUUACAUACCACAGAUCACACAGCCACAUGGAGCUGGGAAAUGUGAUCGACUUGAAGAAGAAUGAAUACGGUGAAGAUUGGAAAGAAGACAUGAGCUGAUCAACUUAGUAGGAGUAAGGAAAACCCUUUUUUUUUUUUUUUGAGACAGAGUCUCACUCUGUUACCAGGCUGGAGUGUGAUGGCGCAAUCUCCGCUUACUGCAACCUCCGCCUUCUAGGUUCAAGAGAUUCUCCUGCCUCAGCCUCCCAAGUAGCUGGGAUUACAGGCACACUCCACCAUGCCUGGCUAAUUUCUGUAUUUUUAGGCUGGGGUUUCACCAUGUUGGCCAGGAUGGUUUUGAUCUCCUGACUUCAUGAUCCGCCCGCCUCGGCCUCCCAAAGUGCUGGGAUUACAGGCAUGAGCCACUGUGCCCAGCUGGAAAACAUGUCUUUUAAAUAUCGAAGGAGAAGUGGAUACACACCAAAUCAUUUCUCUUCCCCAUUGUAUCCUAUAGGGAGCCAAAAUACUCACCUUAUAGUAGUGAAAAUCGGAGGAAAUGAUGGACCUGAGGAAAGAUGAGUCUCCAAUAAAGCAGGAUGUGGCUUGUUGUUUCUGAUCUAAUCAGGAGGUUUAGGGGCCGGCUGUGCUGAAAUGAUAUCCAUAAGCCCUAUUUGAGUGGCCCAACUGUAUUUAACCCAACCUGAAUUCACAGAAAAGUUUGUCCUUCUAGAAUCAUAGUACAUGAAGGAGUAAACCUUAAGGGGUAGGGAUGGUUGGAAAAAUUUGUGUGUCAGAUUCCUGAAAGGUUUGAUGAGAUAGGGAGGCUGCAUGUAAAUCUCAAUCUGGUUAUUUACUGGUUGUGUGAACCAGAAAAAAGUGUGCAAAUAAUAACACCUCACAGGAUUGUGGUUUUUUUGGUUGUUGUUGUUUGUUUGUUUUUGUUUUGUUUUGAGACAGGGUCUCCCUUUGUUGUCCAGGCUGGAAUGCAGUGGCACAAUCAGGGCUCACUUGAGUCUUGACCUGCUGGGCUCAGGUGAUUCUCCCACCUCAGCCUCCUGGGUGGCUGGGGCUACAGGUGCACACCACCAUGCCCAACUAAUUUUUUAAAUUUUUUUUUUGUAGAGAUGGGGUUUUGCUAUGUUUCCCAAGCUAUUCUGUAACCCCUGGGCUCAAGUUAUUCUCGACCUUCCAAAGUGUUGGGAUUACAGGUGUGAACCACUAUGCCUGGCCUCAAAGCGUUGUUAAAAGCAUUGAGACACUGUAGGUAAAACACUUAGUGCCAGGCACAUUGUAUGAGCUUAAUACAUGUUAGUUCGUGUUAACACAUAAGCAGUCUGUAGCAUGGGAUGCAAAAACUGAAAUUAUUGCAUGGUUGAACCAUAUAAUGUUGCCAGCAGUCACCUUUGACUUACAAAAAUAGUGAUUUCAUUCUCUUUGUUUCUUCCCUCCUUCCCUCUCUUCCUUCUACCUCUCUCUCUCUCUCUCUCUCUCUUUCUCUCUCUCUCUCAACAGGGUCUUACUCUAUUGCCCAGGCUGGAGUGCACUGGUGUGAUCAUAGCACAUGGCAGCUUCAAACUCCUAGUAGCUAGGACUACAGGCGUGUGCCACCAUGCCCAGCUAAUUUUUAAAUUUGUUGUACAGACAAGGUCUCUCUGCAUUGCCCAGGCUGUUCUAGAACUCCUGUUCAAGCAAUCUUCCUGCCUAGGCUGCCCAAAGUGCUGAGAUUACAGGUGUGAGCCAUGCGCCUGGCCAAUUUCAUAUAUUCCCACUAAACUUUCCUCUUCCUUCCAUAUAUAUAUAAUAUUACAUAUCUUACAUAUGUACAAAAGAUUAUAUAUUCCAUUACAUAUCUUAUAUACAUAUGAAACACAUAUAUAUGCCAUAUAUAUGAUAUGAAAUAUAUAUAGUAACAUAUAUAAACUGGGAGAUAAGGUGAUAAGUUGUAGUACUGUGCCUCACCUGCUCAUUACCCUGUGGUAAGCUCCUUAUGUCUUCAGAGAAUUCCUGGGGCAUGAAUGUGUCUCCUUGUGUAACAAGUGAUCAAUGCUUCUUUAGAAUAAAGAAAAAACCCAAACUAUGAAACAGAACUGGCAUUUUCUAAAAGGACACAAAAGCCAAGGCAAGAACAAAGGAAGCAGUACGGGAAAGUUGGGGUGUGGGGACAACUCUUUCAGAGUGAUAGGAGAGUGUGCCCAGACCUUGGCCCGCCCCGGCCACACUGCUCCCCAGACUACCUGCAUCCAUUCCCACAGUGCGCUCUUUGCUAUCUCCCUUCUAGAAACCAGACUAGGCUGAAAAGCCAGGAUAAAUGGAUAUAGUGCCCCCGAGUCUCUAAUUUCUGGGCACCUCAG
This 3174-nucleotide long non-coding RNA is filed under the name Homo sapiens (human). Its description in RNAcentral is "HSALNT0090363". The record is from RNAcentral. Lineage: Eukaryota; Metazoa; Chordata; Mammalia; Primates; Hominidae.